Molecule: non-coding RNA, 781 nt
Organism: Arachis ipaensis
Lineage: Eukaryota; Viridiplantae; Streptophyta; Magnoliopsida; Fabales; Fabaceae
Source: RefSeq, a predicted model, not a curated record
UUUACAUCUUCUCCCUCCCUUACUUUUAGUCUUCUACUAAUAUUUAUUGUGUCCUGAAGUUGUGACUAUAGAAGAAUAUCAGCCACUUUCCACGUAUGACUCACAGGAGUCUCAGAGGGACGAUGCGAUUGUACCAGCACUGAGUCCCACGUCUGUGCUCGAGGUCCAUUCCAGUGAAGACAACACUAACUUGAAUCUAGAGCUCAUGAUCCAAAGGUUUUGUUUUGGAUGACUAUGUAACAGUCGGUCGAGCCAUUUGUGCCUAAGGACUCUACUGGUGAUGCUGUUGAAGUUAGCGAUAAGGCCUCGAUCCAAAAGGUGCUAGAUACUGUGAAGAACAUUGAGGUCAGAACUGCUGUCAUAGAGGAUAACAUGCAGUCAUUUGAGAAGCGCCUAUUAAAUAUUGAGAGGAGCUUCACUGACCUUCAUGGCUCUUUGUCCCAUGGUAAAGGACGUGUUGAAACAUUCAUGACGGAGAUCCUUAGAACCAAUACUCAAACCAUGAGCAGCCCAUCACAAGCACAACUAACCAGUCCAAAACUGCACUCUAAGACUGACGAAUGCCGCGCUGGUGAAAUCCCUAUGCCAAUGGAAAAAAAAUAACAGACACAUCUGCACUCAACUCGCAUGUCAAGGGAAAAGGCAUUGCAGGAGAUUUCGAGGAGGGAUGUUUGACAUUAUAGUCCCCAAUUCUCCAGGGAUGUUAUCUGAUGACAAGUCAUCUUAGCCUAUUUUAACUAGCCUUUUUCUUUUGUUUUCAAUUGAAUUAUGCACUUUCUUG